GGAAUAUUGGACAAUGGGCGCAAGCCUGAUCCAGCCAUGCCGCGUGAGUGAUGAAGGCCUUAGGGUUGUAAAGCUCUUUCACCGAUGAAGAUAAUGACGGUAGUCGGAGAAGAAGCCCCGGCUAACUUCGUGCCAGCAGCCGCGGUAAUACGAAGGGGGCUAGCGUUGUUCGGAAUUACUGGGCGUAAAGCGCACGUAGGCGGAUAUUUAAGUCAGGGGUGAAAUCCCAGAGCUCAACUCUGGAACUGCCUUUGAUACUGGGUAUCUUGAGUAUGGAAGAGGUAAGUGGAAUUGCGAGUGUAGAGGUGAAAUUCGUAGAUAUUCGCAGGAACACCAGUGGCGAAGGCGGCUUACUGGUCCAUUACUGACGCUGAGGUGCGAAAGCGUGGGGAGCAAACAGG
Molecule: ribosomal RNA, 401 nt
Filed under: uncultured bacterium
Lineage: Bacteria
Description: bacterial SSU rRNA
Rfam family: Bacterial small subunit ribosomal RNA
Source: RNAcentral